RNAcentral lists this ribosomal RNA (397 nucleotides) under uncultured bacterium. RNAcentral describes it as "partial 16S ribosomal RNA". It matches the Rfam family "Bacterial small subunit ribosomal RNA", at positions 523 to 918 of the family's 1533-position model. The record is from RNAcentral.
AUACGUAGGUGACAAGCGUUAUCCGGAUUUCCUGGGUGUAAAGGGCGUGUAGGCGGUUUAGCAAGUCAGAAGGGAAAUUCCCGGGCUUAACUUGGGCGCUGCUUCUGAAACUGCUUUACUUGAGUGCUGGGGAGGAUAGUUGAAUUCCUAGUGUAGCGGUAAAAUGCGCAGAUAUUAGGAGGAACACCGGUGGCGAAGGCGGCUAUCUGGACAGUAACUGACGCUGAGGCGCGAAAGCACGGGGAGCAAACAGGAUUAGAUACCCUGGUAGUCCGUGCCGUAAACGAUGAAUACUAGGUGUAGGGGGUAUCGACUCCCUCUGUGCCGCAGUUAACACAUUAAGUAUUCCACCUGGGGAGUACGGCCGCAAGGUUGAAACUCAAAUGAAUUGACGGGG